GGUCAAGCUACAAAGGGCUCACGGCGGAUACCUUGGCACACAGAGGCGAUGAAGGACGUGGUUACCU
This 67-nucleotide ribosomal RNA is filed under the name uncultured cyanobacterium. Its description in RNAcentral is "partial 23S ribosomal RNA". Lineage: Bacteria; Bacillati; Cyanobacteriota. The record is from RNAcentral.